UGGGGAAUAUUGCACACUGGGGGAAACCCUGAUGCAGCGACGCCGCGUGAACGAAGAAGGUAUUCGUAUCGUAAAGUUCUGUCCUACGGGAAGAUAAUGACAGUACCAUAGAAGAAAGCUCCGGCUAAAUACGUGCCAGCAGCCGCGGUAAUACGUAUGGAGCGAGCGUUGUCCGGAAUUAUUGGGCGUAAAGGGUACGCAGGCGGUUUAAUAAGUCGAAUGUUAAAGAUCGGGGCUCAACCCCGUAAAGCAUUGGAAACUGAUAAACUUGAGUAGUGGAGAGGAAAGUGGAAUUCCUAGUGUAGUGGUGAAAUGCGUAGAUAUUAGGAGGAAUACCAGUAGCGAAGGCGACUUUCUGGACACAAACUGACGCUGAGGUACGAAAGCGUGGGGAGCAAACAGG
Molecule: ribosomal RNA, 403 nt
Filed under: bacterium
Lineage: Bacteria
Description: partial 16S ribosomal RNA
Rfam family: Bacterial small subunit ribosomal RNA
Source: RNAcentral